GGCACACAUUACAAUAAACAUUUUUAUGGUCCCCAACAUUAGGCAUAUAAAUCCUACCUGUCUUCACACACUUACACACUAAAACUCCCACAGAAAGGGGGAAAAUUAGAAAAGGGGUGAUAUAAUUUGACUCUGUGUCACCACCCAAAUCUCAUCUUGAAUUGUAAUCCCCGUAAUUUCUCACCUGGCAAGAGUGGGACCAGGUGGAGACAAUUGGAUCAUGGGGGCAGUUUUCCCCAUGCUCUUCUCGUGAUAAUGAUUGAGUCUCAUGGGAUCUGAUGAUUCUAUAAGUGUCUGGCUUUUCUCCUACUUGCACUCACUCCAUCCUGCCACCCUGCGAGGAAGGUGCCUGCUUCUUCUUUGCCUUCCGCCGUGAGUGUGAGUCUCCUGAGGCCUCCCCAGCAAUGUGGAACUGAUACGUCAUGGAACAGAGGGCAACCUGCCUCCUGGAAAUGUGGAGUGUCUAGGGAGUCACAGCUGAGAUCUUCCUUGGAUUAAAGGCUGCGGGUGUCACAAACAGGACGUGAGUCUUCACAACCUGCUAAAAAUGAACUUUCAGGACCUACCCAUCUAGGAAUAAGCCAUCCUAGCCAUGAGCGAUCAGAGACCAGAGACUCAUUUUUUUGUAAAAUGCUUUCUCCAAAAGACUUUUAAAAAGAAAAGGGGGGAAAUGUGAAAAGAAAAUAUUUUGGGCCCUCAAAAUCCCUAAGGAAAACUCAAGCUAGAAACUGCUUAAGGCAAUCCUGACUCCUAUUCUAUUCAAAGUUAACCCUCUCCUCACUGAGAUGGAUGCAUAUCUGAUUGCCUCCAUUGGAAAGGCUAAUCAGAAACUCAAAAGAAUGUCUCACCUAUCUGCCACCUGGAAGCUCCCUCCUGUUUCCAGUUUUCCUGACUUUACUUCAAGUUUUCCCACCUUUCCAGACUGCACCAAUGUACUUCUUACAUAUUAAUUGAUGUCUCAUGUUUCCCUUAAAAUGUAUAAAACCAAGCUGUGCCCUGACCACCUUGCGCACAUGUUGUCAGGACAUCCUGAGGUUGUGUCACAGGUUCAUCCUCAACCUUGGCAAAAUAAACUUUCUAAAUUAACUGAGACCUGUCUCAGA
This 1103-nucleotide long non-coding RNA is filed under the name Homo sapiens (human). RNAcentral describes it as "HSALNT0300682". The record is from RNAcentral. Lineage: Eukaryota; Metazoa; Chordata; Mammalia; Primates; Hominidae.